RNAcentral lists this ribosomal RNA (468 nucleotides) under uncultured bacterium. RNAcentral's name for it is "partial 16S ribosomal RNA". It matches the Rfam family "Bacterial small subunit ribosomal RNA", at positions 28 to 507 of the family's 1533-position model. The record is from RNAcentral.
GACGAACGCUGGCGGCGUGCUUAACACAUGCAAGUCGAACGGAAAGGCCCUGCUUUUGUGGGGUGCUCGAGUGGCGAACGGGUGAGUAACACGUGAGUAACCUGCCCUUGACUUUGGGAUAACUUCAGGAAACUGGGGCUAAUACCGGAUAGGAGCUCCUGCUGCAUGGUGGGGGUUGGAAAGUUUCGGCGGUUGGGGAUGGACUCGCGGCUUAUCAGCUUGUUGGUGGGGUAGUGGCUUACCAAGGCCUUGACGGGUAGCCGGCCUGAGAGGGUGACCGGCCACAUUGGGACUGAGAUACGGCCCAGACUCCUACGGGAGGCAGCAGUGGGGAAUAUUGCACAAUGGGCGGAAGCCUGAUGCAGCAACGCCGCGUGCGGGAUGACGGCCUUCGGGUUGUAAACCGCUUUCGCCUGCGACGAAGCGUGAGUGACGGUAAUGGGUAAAGAAGCACCGGCUAACUACGUG